Molecule: ribosomal RNA, 465 nt
Filed under: uncultured bacterium
Lineage: Bacteria
Description: partial 16S ribosomal RNA
Rfam family: Bacterial small subunit ribosomal RNA
Source: RNAcentral
GACGAACGCUGGCGGCGUGCUUAACACAUGCAAGUCGUACGGUAAGGCCCUUUCGGGGGUCCACGAGUGGCGAACGGGUGAGUAACACGUGAGUAACCUGCCCACAACUUUGGGAUAACGCUAGGAAACUGGUGCUAAUACUGGAUAUGUGCUCCUGCUGCAUGGUGGGGGUUGGAAAGCUCCGGCGGUUGUGGAUGGACUCGCGGCCUAUCAGCUUGUUGGUGGGGUAGUGGCCUACCAAGGCGGCGACGGGUAGCCGGCCUGAGAGGGUGACCGGCCACAUUGGGACUGAGAUACGGCCCAGACUCCGACGGGAGGCAGCAGGGGGGAAUAUUGCACAAGGGGCGCAAGCCUGAUGCAGCAACGCCGCGGGCGGGAUGACGGCCUUCGGGUUGUAAACCGCUUUCAGCAGGGACGAAGCUUUUUGUGACGGUACCUGCAGAAGAAGCACCGGCUAACUACGUG